Non-coding RNA from Schizosaccharomyces pombe (fission yeast), 425 nucleotides. The record is from the annotation of a GenBank genome assembly. Lineage: Eukaryota; Fungi; Ascomycota; Schizosaccharomycetes; Schizosaccharomycetales; Schizosaccharomycetaceae.
GUUGUAGAGUUUGACCUUCUCUGUGCGAUUUAAAGUUCUAGACGGAAACGCACGUAAAAUAGCCUUUUUUCUCAACCUAUCCAAAAGGACUCUUUUGUAUCCAUUGUUUUCGCGGAUUUGUAUGCGGUACAAAGUAGCAGCCAAACGUCGUAGUAAUGAAGCAUUAUUCGAUUGUAAAAGAUUAUUGGUAUGUUGUAUUAAAGAUUUAAAGUCAUUAAGACGAUAAUAACACCAACAAAUUAAAAUCUGAGAACGAAAUGAAAAGUGACUAUCAUCAACAUCCGAUACCUUAAAUGAGUAUAAUAGAGCGCUUUGGAACAACCGCCUAGAAAACAGCCAUUCUGCGAGAGCUAGAGUAAAAGAUUUUGAAUAUGCUGAAGGAUUGCGUUGAAAUGAGACAAGCAAUUGCUCAAUUUUUUCAGAUG